UCGAGAAUAUUUCACAAUGAGCGAAAGCUUGAUGAAGCGACGCCGCGUGGACGAUGAAGGCCUUCGGGUUGUAAAGUCCUGUUGUCAGGGAACAAGGAAGAUACGUGAAUAACGUGUUUUUUUGAGGGUACCUGAAGAGAAAGCACCGGCUAACUCCGUGCCAGCAGCUGCGGUAAUACGGAGGGUGCUAGCGUUAGUCGGAAUUACUGGGCGUAAAGGGUGCGUAGGCGGGAAUACAAGUCGUAUGUGAAAUUCCGGGGCUUAACCUCGGAGCUGCAGACGAAACUGUAUUUCUUGUCGGAUGGCGGAGAAAAUGGAAUUCCACGAGUAGCGGUGAAAUGCGUAGAUACGUGGAAGAACACCUGUGGCGAAAGCGGUUUUCUAGCCUACCCGAGACGCUGAGGCACGAAAGUUAGGGGAGCAAACAGG
RNAcentral lists this ribosomal RNA (429 nucleotides) under uncultured bacterium. Its description in RNAcentral is "bacterial SSU rRNA". It matches the Rfam family "Bacterial small subunit ribosomal RNA", at positions 355 to 776 of the family's 1533-position model. The record is from RNAcentral.